RNAcentral lists this non-coding RNA (206 nucleotides) under Ruegeria sp. ANG-S4. RNAcentral also lists the same sequence under 1 other name. The record is from RNAcentral. Lineage: Bacteria; Pseudomonadati; Pseudomonadota; Alphaproteobacteria; Rhodobacterales; Roseobacteraceae.
CCGCAUGUCGCAUCUGUUGGUGUCUGCGAAAGCAGAUGAAAAGGGAAUGCGUCAGCGGGUUUUCCGUCAAACGCAGCCGCCCCCGCGACCGUGACCGGAGAGGGUGCCCAAGCCACUGGCCGAAAAGCCGGGAAGGCGGGACACCCGACAGAGGCCAUCCUCUGACAUCCGCAAGCCGGGAGACCUGCCAACGCCCGCGUAAGAAA